Caenorhabditis elegans is the source of this 147-nucleotide non-coding RNA. NCBI's taxonomy places the organism in Eukaryota, Metazoa, Nematoda, Chromadorea, Rhabditida, Rhabditidae. The record is from Ensembl.
CGGCCAGUGUAUGGGCAGAGAGAAGACAUAGUUGAGUGAAUAGGGUUAAGAAUGAGGUGAAAAACGAUGAACGUCUGAGGAAAAUGGCAAAAUCCGCGCCUUUUAUACCCAAUUUUUGUUUGUUGUUUGUUGUUGUUUACUUGUUUA